Molecule: ribosomal RNA, 253 nt
Filed under: uncultured bacterium
Lineage: Bacteria
Description: partial 16S ribosomal RNA
Rfam family: Bacterial small subunit ribosomal RNA
Source: RNAcentral
GACAGAGGGUGCAAACGUUGUUCGGAAUUACUGGGCGUAAAGCGCGUGUAGGCGGCCAUCUAAGUCGGGCGUGAAAUCCCACGGCUCAACCGUGGAAGUGCACUCGAAACUGGAUGGCUAGAGUCCUGGAGAGGAAGGUGGAAUGCUUGGUGUAGAGGUGAAAUUCGUAGAUAUUGGGAAGAACACCGAUGGCGAAGGCAGCCAUCUGGACCGACACUGACGCUGAGGCGCGAAAGCGUGGGGAGCAAACGGG